Pelobates cultripes (western spadefoot toad) is the source of this 1124-nucleotide non-coding RNA. The record is from the annotation of a GenBank genome assembly. Lineage: Eukaryota; Metazoa; Chordata; Amphibia; Anura; Pelobatidae.
CACCAGGCAAGAUGUCGUUAGCACCCAGCUACAGGGAAACUAAACGCCGAAGGUAAACGGCUCCCACGCGGCCCCAUUAAAGUGGCCGACAGCGGGGCCAUAACAACUCCACUAGCCUAAACAUGGAGAACCCCCUAUGGCACAUGGAAGCAGAGUUGGGAAGACAAUCCUGAUCAAUGACCGCAGACAGGACAGAAAAACGGUACCUGCACUUUGUCUCUCCACUCACACAGCAAAGGCAACCCCCAGAUGAGGGCUCAAUUACUGCUCCACCACAGCACGCUUAACCAGCGCUCCGUAUCACCAGGGCCAGAGACUAAACAAGGGGGAUUACCCAGAGACUGCAUACCCAAGCAUCGACCCUAAUAUAACGCAGCCCGCACCCGAACACAGCGGCUUGAAUGGUACCGCGCUCACAUACACCAGACAACCAGGAGACCAGUCAAUCCGCAACCAUGGUGCUCUCUGGCAGGACUUUGGAACUCAGAGGACCUUUUCAUAGGGACUAUCCCCAUGCAUGGGAAUAAAUUGCCUUCCAACAUCACCCGUAUAACCAGACCCCAACAUCCCAAGAUGACUGGCACCUAAGGUACACAUCACGGAACCCUCUGACAGGCUCAAAAGUGGUUACUGCGGCUGCAUUUUAUAAUUAAAAAGACUGUAAAGCCAUCCAUGUCAUAAUCACCGUUCUAGGAAAUGCUAGUUGGUAUUUAUGCCUGAUGCUGUCAAUAACAUAGCAUGCUCUGCUUUGCCAGGUGGUAUAUUACUUUACUUAAACAGUUGAUUCAGUUAAACUUGUUACCUUAUUAUUUUAUCAUAUGUCAGUAAGCCAAUCUUUAUUUACACCUACAUUUGUUACCUUCCCUGACACAUAAGAUUAAAGCUCAGAAAAGCAUACAAACUACUUAUAAGCAUCGCCCUUGAGAGUAGCACUCAGUACUGUGUUCACUUACCUAAUGUUUUCUAAUCGAUCGUAGUCAGCUGAAUAUUAUCAAUGGAAACAUAUGAAUAGCAUGUCUAUAACGUAACAUUUUAAAAAAUGUGCCGACAUCUCAAAGUCACUAAUGUACAAAUACUGCGUGCAUAUCUCCUAAUUCUGCCGUUGUGGCAUAGUCAAAUGUUCU